RNAcentral lists this ribosomal RNA (497 nucleotides) under uncultured bacterium. Its description in RNAcentral is "partial 16S ribosomal RNA". It matches the Rfam family "Bacterial small subunit ribosomal RNA", at positions 28 to 507 of the family's 1533-position model. The record is from RNAcentral.
GAUGAACGCUGGCGGCGUGCCUAGUACAUGCAAGUCGAGCGAACGGGCGAGAAGCUUGCUUCUCUGAUGUUGGCGGCGGACGGGUGAGUAACACGUGGAUAACCUACCUAUAAGACUGGGAUAACUUCGGGAAACCGGAGCUAAUACCGGAUGAUAUUUUGAACCGCAUGGUUCAAAAGUGAAAGACGGUCUUGCUGUCACUUAUAGAUGGAUCCGCGCUGCAUUAGCUAGUUGGUAAGGUAACGGCUUACCAAGGCAACGAUGCAUAGCCGACCUGAGAGGGUGAUCGGCCACACUGGAACUGAGACACGGUCCAGACUCCUACGGGAGGCAGCAGUAGGGAAUCUUCCGCAAUGGGCGAAAGCCUGACGGAGCAACGCCGCGUGAGUGAUGAAGGUCUUCGGAUCGUAAAACUCUGUUAUUAGGGAAGAACAUAUGUGUAAGUAACUGUGCACAUCUUGACGGUACCUAAUCAGAAAGCCACGGCUAACUACGUG